Molecule: ribosomal RNA, 459 nt
Filed under: uncultured bacterium
Lineage: Bacteria
Description: partial 16S ribosomal RNA
Rfam family: Bacterial small subunit ribosomal RNA
Source: RNAcentral
CCUACGGGUGGCAGCAGUGAGGAAUAUUGGUCAAUGGGCGCGAGCCUGAACCAGCCAAGUCGCGUGAGGGAAGACGGUCCUAUGGAUUGUAAACCUCUUUUGUCGGGGAGCAAAAGACGCCACGCGUGGCGUUCCGAGAGUACCCGACGAAAAAGCAUCGGCUAACUCCGUGCCAGCAGCCGCGGUAAUACGGAGGAUGCGAGCGUUAUCCGUAUUUAUUGGGUUUAAAGGGUGCGCAGGCGGACGAUCAAGUCAGCGGUAAAAUUGAGAGGCUCAACCUCUUCGAGCCGUUGAAACUGGUGUUCUUGAGUGAGCGAGAAGUAUGCGGAAUGCGUGGUGUAGCGGUGAAAUGCAUAGAUAUCACGCAGAACUCCGAUUGCGAAGGCAGCAUACCGGCGCUCAACUGACGCUCAUGCACGAAAGUGUGGGUAUCGAACAGGAUUAGAUACCCGGGUAGUC